RNAcentral lists this unclassified non-coding RNA (213 nucleotides) under Hevea brasiliensis (rubber tree). Lineage: Eukaryota; Viridiplantae; Streptophyta; Magnoliopsida; Malpighiales; Euphorbiaceae. The record is from RNAcentral.
GUGAAUCCAAGGUAAUCAUUGAUGUGGAUGUGGAUGACGAUGCUAAAGAGGAAGGAGAGUUGGAAGAAGGCGAGAUCGACUUGGAUUCCGCUGACCUAGUUGUAAAUUUUGGAAAGGAGGCCAAUUUCAUUAGGGAACAACUUCAGAGCGUUACUCUAGACGAAACCCACAAAUCCUUUUCUAUGGUUUGUUCCAAAUUGCAAACUUCAUUAC